RNAcentral lists this ribosomal RNA (403 nucleotides) under bacterium. RNAcentral's name for it is "partial 16S ribosomal RNA". It matches the Rfam family "Bacterial small subunit ribosomal RNA", at positions 355 to 776 of the family's 1533-position model. The record is from RNAcentral.
UGGGGAAUAUUGCACAAUGGGGGAAACCCUGAUGCAGCGACGCCGCGUGAACGAAGAAGGUAUUCGUAUCGUAAAGUUCUGUCCUAUGGGAAGAUAAUGACAGUACCAUAGAAGAAAGCUCCGGCUAAAUACGUGCCAGCAGCCGCGGUAAUACGUAUGGAGCGAGCGUUGUCCGGAAUUAUUGGGCGUAAAGGGUACGCAGGCGGCUUAAUAAGUCGAAUGUUAAAGAUCGGGGCUCAACCCCGCAAAGCAUUGGAAACUGAUAAACUUGAGUGGUGGAGAGGAAAGUGGAAUUCCUAGUGUAGUGGUGAAAUACGUAGAUAUUAGGAGGGAUACCAGUAGCGAAGGCGACUUUCUGGACACAAACUGACGCUGGGGUACGAGAGCGUGGGGAGCAAACAGG